CAGCUUGUUGNNNGGGUAAUGGCCUACCAAGGCGACGACGGGUAGCCGGCCUGAGAGGGUGACCGGCCACACUGGGACUGAGACACGGCCCAGACUCCUACGGGAGGCAGCAGUGGGGAAUAUUGCACAAUGGGCGCAAGCCUGAUGCAGCGACGCCGCGUGAGGGAUGACGGCCUUCGGGUUGUAAACCUCUUUCAGUAGGGAAGAAGCGAAAGUGACGGUACCUGCAGAAGAAGCGCCGGCUAACUACGUGCCAGCAGCCGCGGUAAUACGUAGGGCGCAAGCGUUAUCCGGAAUUAUUGGGCGUAAAGAGCUCGUAGGCGGUUUGUCGCGUCUGCUGUGAAAGACCGGGGCUCAACUCCGGUUCUGCAGUGGGUACGGGCAGACUAGAGUGAUGUAGGGGAGACUGGAAUUCCUGGUGUAGCGGUGAAAUGCGCAGAUAUCAGGAGGAACACCGAUGGCGAAGGCAGGUCUCUGGGCAUUAACUGACGCUGAGGAGCGAAAGCAUGGGGAGCGAACAGGAUUAGAUACCCUGGUAGUCCAUGCCGUAAACGUUGGGCACUAGGUGUGGGGGACAUUCCACGUUUUCCGCGCCGUAGCUAACGCAUUAAGUGCCCCGCCUGGGGAGUACGGCCGCAAGGCUAAAACUCAAAGGAAUUGACGGGGGCCCGCACAAGCGGCGGAGCAUGCGGAUUAAUUCGAUGCAACGCGAAGAACCUUACCAAGGCUUGACAUGAACCGGUAAUACCUGGAAACAGGUGCCCCGCUUGCGGUCGGUUUACAGGUGGUGCAUGGUUGUCGUCAGCUCGUGUCGUGAGAUGUUGGGUUAAGUCCCGCAACGAGCGCAACCCUCGUUCUAUGUUGCCAGCGCGUUAUGGCGGGGACUCAUAGGAGACUGCCGGGGUCAACUCGGAGGAAGGUGGGGACGACGUCAAAUCAUCAUGCCCCUUAUGUCUUGGGCUUCACGCAUGCUACAAUGGCCGGUACAAAGGGUUGCGAUACUGUGAGGUGGAGCUAAUCCCAAAAAGCCGGUCUCAGUUCGGAUUGGGGUCUGCAACUCGACCCCAUGAAGUCGGAGUCGCUAGUAAUCGC
RNAcentral lists this ribosomal RNA (1092 nucleotides) under Arthrobacter sp. Its description in RNAcentral is "bacterial SSU rRNA". It matches the Rfam family "Bacterial small subunit ribosomal RNA", at positions 242 to 1345 of the family's 1533-position model. Lineage: Bacteria; Bacillati; Actinomycetota; Actinomycetes; Micrococcales; Micrococcaceae. The record is from RNAcentral.